RNAcentral lists this ribosomal RNA (250 nucleotides) under uncultured bacterium. Its description in RNAcentral is "partial 16S ribosomal RNA". It matches the Rfam family "Bacterial small subunit ribosomal RNA", at positions 524 to 773 of the family's 1533-position model. The record is from RNAcentral.
UACGGAGGGUGCGAGCGUUGUUCGGAAUUAUUGGGCGUAAAGCGCGUGUAGGCGGCUCCUUAAGUCUGAUGUGAAAGCCCCGGGCUCAACCUGGGAAGUGCAUUGGAAACUGGGGAACUUGAAUACGGGAGAGGGUAGUGGAAUUCCUGGUGUAGGAGUGAAAUCCGUAGAUAUCAGGAGGAACACCGGUGGCGAAGGCGGCUGCCUGGACCGAUAUUGACGCUGAGACGCGAAAGCGUGGGGAGCAAAC